UGUGGUGGAUUCAUUAAAAUCAAUUCAGAACUGGCACGGACUUGGGGAAUCCGACUGUCUAAUUAAAACAAAGCAUUGUGAUGGCCCUAGCGGGUGUUGACACAAUGUGAUUUCUGCCCAGUGCUCUGAAUGUCAAAGUGAAGAAAUUCAAGUAAGCGCGGGUCAACGGCGGGAGUAACUAUGACUCUCUUAAGGUAGCCAAAUGCCUCGUCAUCUAAUUAGUGACGCGCAUGAAUGGAUUAACGAGAUUCCUACUGUCCCUAUCUACUAUCUAGCGAAACCACAGCCAAGGGAACGGGCUUGGAAUAAUUAGCGGGGAAAGAAGACCCUUUUGAGCUUGACUCUAAUCUGGCAGUGUAAGGAGACAUAAGAGGUGUAGAAUAAGUGGGAGAUAUUAGACCUCGGUUUGGUAUCGUCAAUGAAAUACCACUACUCUUAUUGUUUCCUUACUUACUUGAUUAAAUGGAACGUGUAUCAUUUCCUAGCCAUUAUACGGAUAUAUUUAUUAUAUCUUAUGGUAUUGGGUUUUGAUGCAAGCUUCUUGAUCAAAGUAUCACGAGUUUGUUAUAUAAUCGCAAACAAAUUCUUUAAUAAAACGAUGCAUUUAUGUAUUUUUGAUUUGAAAAUUUGGUAUAACUCCAAUUACUCAGGUAUGAUCCAAUUCAAGGACAUUGCCAGGUAGGGAGUUUGACUGGGGCGGUACAUCUCUCAAAUAAUAACGGAGGUGUCCCAAGGCCAGCUCAGUGCGGACAGAAACCACACAUAGAGCAAAAGGGCAAAUGCUGACUUGAUCUCGGUGUUCAGUACACACAGGGACAGCAAAAGCUCGGCCUAUCGAUCCUUUUGGUUUAAAGAGUUUUUAACAAGAGGUGUCAAAAAAGUUACCAUAGGGAUAACUGGCUUGUGGCGGCCAAGCGUUCAUAGCCACGUUGCUUUUUUGAUCCUUUCAAGGUCGGCUCUUCCUAUCAAUGUGAAGCAAAAUUUCCCAAGCCGUUGAAUUGUUCCCCCUGGCAAGGGAACUUGACCCGGGGUUUAGAACGUCCUUGAAAAAAGGUAAUUUUACCCUAC
Molecule: non-coding RNA, 1068 nt
Filed under: Drosophila simulans
Lineage: Eukaryota; Metazoa; Arthropoda; Insecta; Diptera; Drosophilidae
Description: Eukaryotic large subunit ribosomal RNA
Rfam family: Eukaryotic large subunit ribosomal RNA
Source: Rfam by way of RNAcentral